GACAAACGGAAGGAUGACAUGUCUAUUUAGCUAGUGACCCUUGGAGAUGACCUUAGUUUGCUAUGUGAGUCAUAUAAAUAGUCCUCUUCCCACUCUACUCUAACCUAACUCCCUCCUCUCCCUCAGUCCCACACUCCCACCUCACGAGUCGCCGCCCCCGAUAUGUCCGCGACUCCCGGUUCCCCACCGAUCCCCUUCCUCUUCCUGACCCCCGAUCCUCUCCCUCUUCCCCGAUGCUCGUGCUCCCUGCCUGAGCCAGCCCCUCGCGUACUCCCUGCCUGCCGCUCCCGGCCAUAGUUGUUGUUUAUUUUGUAUAUUUCAUGGAUAUGGAUAAUCCAUGUAUAUAUCUGUAUACCUGGUGGAUAUGGAUGUGGAUAUGGUUUUGCAUUCACGGAUGUUUUCGUGGAUGGAUAGUUGGUUCGGCGAUGGACAUGGAUAUGGAUCUGGUUGACCCGUCGUCUGACCACUGACAACUUUUGCUCUUUUCUUUUUCUUUCUCUCUCUCUCCCACUUCUAAGUACAUUAUGGUACUUGACGUAUUUCCAAGUAUAUAUUUAGUACAUUAUCAUAUAUGAAUUGUACCUUAACAGUUUUUAAAUAUCUUCUGGACAUGAAUUUAUGAUACGAGUACAGCAUAUGGUACAUCACACGUACCUUAACAAUUUUUAAUUACCUUGUACACGUGACGAGUACAUGAAGAUACAUCACAAAUACAAUUAACAAGUACCUCAUCAACGGUAAAUUACAUCAUGUACCCGGACAAAAUUAGAACAAAAAACAUUCAUAAAUAACUAGUACCUCGUCAUGUACCAUGGGUACAUGAUGGUAUUCAAAAAUCACAGCACAAACAUUCCAAAAAGAAACCACAAACAUUCAAAAAAAUCACAUGGUACAUGAUGGUACUCCAAAAUCACAUCACAAAAUCAUGAUAAUGGUGAAUCCAACUAGUACCUCGUCAUGUACCAUGUACUAAAAAAUCACAACACAAACAUUCAAAAAAGAAACAAAAACAUUAAAAAAAUCACAUGGUACAUGAUGGUACUCCAAAAUCACAGCACAAAAUCAUGGUACAUGAUGAAUCCAAAAUAAAAAAUCACAUGGUACAUCAAAAGUCAAAAUAAAAAAUCAGAGCACAAAAAUCAAAAGCCAGCCGGCGCG
RNAcentral lists this long non-coding RNA (1158 nucleotides) under Brachypodium distachyon (stiff brome). RNAcentral describes it as "long non-coding RNA (BDIS_LNC004993)". The record is from RNAcentral. Lineage: Eukaryota; Viridiplantae; Streptophyta; Magnoliopsida; Poales; Poaceae.